Bombyx mori (domestic silkworm) is the source of this 2518-nucleotide long non-coding RNA. RefSeq lists it as uncharacterized. The transcript has 2 exons. The record is from RefSeq and is a predicted model, not a curated record. Lineage: Eukaryota; Metazoa; Arthropoda; Insecta; Lepidoptera; Bombycidae.
CCCUAUAAGGUCAGAUUUACAUUAAUUAUCUUAAAAUUAGUACUUUUUAGUUAAUUAAAAGACAACGCCCUUUUAUACAGCGCGGCUAUUGCGUUAUUUCUGGGAAUAGGUAGGUAGGUAGGAAUAGGUUUUAAUAAGGCAGGCAACGUGGGCACUAUAUUACUUUAUAGUCUGGUUUAGGUAUGUGGUAAAAUUAUAUGGAACUUUUGCAAUAUUCGCGGUUACGGCCCAAAUUAAUAGUGAGCAUGUUUUAUUUUGAGCAGGUUAAGAAGUCAAGGUUAAGCAAUUUUAAUUCAAACGAUGUAUACUCAUUUACUGAGCUUACAAAAAAUUGACAGAGCACAUAUUUUUUGACACGCUUUUAUUAGCUGCGUAGGUAUGUUUAUUUUUGCUAUUCGGUACUAUUUUAGUUUUUAAUCUAUAUAUUAUAUUAUUCUACCGCCAUACCACUCUGAGCUAAACUGUCAUUUUAGCUUGAAUAACUUACCUACUUUUGAUUAAAGUGAGUUUUUUUUUUAUUUCUUAAAGAUAUAAUUCUAUAAUAUUAUGAAAUGCACCCUUUUUCAGUAGUCACUGAUCAAUAUAAGACUUUGUUAACAGAUUAUAGUCGCAGUGGAAAUUGCAUAUUGCCGGAACCAUCGAACAAGGCCACGACAACUCGGUCAUCGGGUCGUCAGUUGGAGUACGAAUUGCGAGGACGCGCCCAGAACAAGUCGGCACGCCUACGGGAGGGAGGAUAUAUCACUCCUUCCCGCAUUGCGACACUACGUGCCAUUCGGAAGGAGACUAAUUUUAGUUUAAAUUAAUGCAAAUAUACGCAAUAUGAAAUAUUAAUGCGACGCAUGUAAUACUUUGAAUGCGUCCAUGGCGCGCUGAUUACGUAAGAUUUAUUUCGGCUAUGUUAUUAGCAUGCAACAGUGACGAAAAUAAAAACUACUAUUAGGAGGAAACACCGUCUUGUAUCCUAGCGUUUGUACUCGGCACAUUUUGCCGGCCGGUUCCGUACGGAUGUGGAAUAAAUACUGUUGUUUGUUUCCCUAUUAAACUUAUUUAUAUUUGGAUGUUAUUAAAAGUACAUAAAUUAUCUUAAGAACCUGUUCUCUCUUCUCAACUAUAACCAAAAAUAAUUAUAUACCUGGCUAUUUACAUUAGUUGUAUAUUUUUAUAAAUAAAUAAAAAGUGCCUAACUAACUGACCCUUUAAAACAGAAUCCAUUGAGGCUUUAGUAAUAUGGAUUCCUCAUAAUUAACUCAUUACAGAAUGUUCAGUUUUUUUUAUCGUAAUACAAUAAUUUAAAAUGCUUGGAUAUUCCUGCUGCUUUGUAUUAAUUUAUAAUUUUGUACUUACUUAAGAGUAGUCCAGCUGGCAAGACAACUCUCACCAGCAGCAUAGAAAAGUAAUAUUUAUGCAUUAUGAUUGAUGAUGCCUGAAACAAGUAAAAAAUAAUUAAGCAAACUGUAUAUGUUUAUUUUCAUAAAAAAUCUUCAUUUUAAAACAGCAAGAGCAGUAUAUAUUACAAAGGAAUCAAUAAAUAGAUUGAGUUAAGUAGUAUUUAACUGACAAUGGGUUCAAACUUAGAUGUACACAUAUGUAUAUAUUUAAUUUUAGGCUUUAUUUCAGCUACUGCAUUAGUAGAUGUUAAUUUAAAAAAAAGAACAAAUAGAUAUGAAAGCUGUUGUGAUUUUAGGCGCAUCAAAAUAUUUUUAUGGAAAUCAUAAGCUUAUCAGCAAAGUCAUCAUUAAGUGUGUAAAGUAAUAAUUUUUCACAUAGGACCAUUUGUUUAAUUAAUCAUUCAAAAUUAUAUAGAUACAUAAAUAUUUAAAAAUGACUAUCAAAGGACAAUACUCAAGGCAUUUAAGACUAGUAGGCAAAUAAAGGUAAGUAAUUUUCUAGUAAGUUUAAACCCUAGAAAAUUAAGGAGGCAGCGCAAGAGUUUAUGCAUGUCUUAUGUAUAAAUUACAAUUAACAUUUUACUAUUUUUUUACAGUUAAAAAUUAGUCCAAAAAUACGUAUUAGCAUAAACCUACAACUUCCUUAGAGCUGGAAGUCAUAAAGUCAAAAGUCAUAUUGCAUAUUCUCAAAAUGUUUACUUUAGGGAUUUAUUUUGAGGAACUGGUUUAAAAUUGAAGAUUUAUAUUUGUUGCUUUAACUAACUAAUGUGUUAAAUAAAUAAAUAAAUAUUUACUAACAAUCGCGCCACGUUAACUGGUCCCGUGAUAAGUUCGUAAAGAACUUGUGUUACAGGUACCAGAUAAGGGAUAUAAAUGUAAGAUUUUUAUUAUACACAUACAUAUAUUUUAAUAUACAUCCAUAGCCCUGGAAAAUACAUUUAUAUUUAUCAUACAAAUAUCUUCCCUUGGCGGGAUUCGAACCCGCGACCCCCCUGUGUAGUGACCAUGUCACUUACCACUACACCAGACGGCCGUUAAAUACAAGAAAUAGUUUAAAAAUUAUGUAGAUAAUAUCCAUAAAAUAUUUCUCUUAAUCUUUUAUAUAAUACAUAUUAAAAGUAACAAAA